UUGAUCCUGGCUCAGAAUCAACGCUGGCGGCGUGCCUCAGACAUGCAAGUCGAACGAUUAAAGCUCUCUUCGGAGAGUGUAUAGAGUGGCGCACGGGUGUGUAACACGUAAGUAAUCUACCCUCGAGUGGGGAAUAACGUCCGGAAACGUACGCUAAUACCGCAUAAUGCAGCGGCACCGCAAGGUGACAGUUGUUAAAUGAGAAAUUCGCUUGAGGAGGAGCUUGCGGCAGAUUAGCUUGUUGGUAAGUUAACGGCUUACCAAGGCUACGAUCUGUAACCGGUCUUAGAGGACGGUCGUUCACACUGACACUGAAUAACGGGUCAGACUCCUACGGGAGGCAGCAGUCUGGAAUUUUGGGCAAUGGGCGAAAGCCUGACCCAGCAACGCCGCGUGAAGUAUGAAGUAUUUCGGUAUGCAAACUUCGAAAGAAUAGGAAGAAUAAAUGAUGGUACUAUUUAUAAGGUCCGGCUAACUACGUGCCAGCAGCCGCGGUAAUUAGGU
This 504-nucleotide ribosomal RNA is filed under the name uncultured Acidobacteriota bacterium. Its description in RNAcentral is "bacterial SSU rRNA". It matches the Rfam family "Bacterial small subunit ribosomal RNA", at positions 13 to 528 of the family's 1533-position model. Lineage: Bacteria; Pseudomonadati; Acidobacteriota. The record is from RNAcentral.